AUGGCCGGGAGCGCGAGGUCGGCGGCCGCGAAGCACGCGUACCGGAUGUUCACGCCGUCCCGGAGCGCGGCGUCGCGGGGCAGCCCCGGCAGCGCGGCGGACGAGUUCGACGAGUCGGACGUCUGGGGCUCGUUCGGCGGGGCGGACUCCGGCCCCGCGGACCUCGCGCGCGCCCGCACGAUCCCGUCGUCCGCCCGCGCCAGCGGCCGGAAGAAGCCGCUGGACCAUGCCCAUGCCGGCCCCGGCGCCGGCGCCGUGCCCGGGUCGCUGCCGAUGAGCAUCCCGGACUGGCAGAAGAUCCUGGGGGCCGAGUACAGGGACCACCACGCCGGCGAGUGGGAGCUCUACGACGACGACUACGGCAAGGUGGGCUCCGGCUGCCGGAGCGGCUCCGUGGUGCCGCCGCACGAGCUGGCGUGGCGCAGCCGCGCCGCGUCCCUGUCGGUGCACGAGGGGGUCGGCAGGACGCUCAAGGGGCGCGACCUCAGCCGCGUCCGCGACGCCGUCUGGAAGAGGACCGGCUUCGAGGACUGA
RNAcentral lists this ribosomal RNA (534 nucleotides) under Triticum aestivum (bread wheat). RNAcentral's name for it is "partial small subunit ribosomal RNA". The record is from RNAcentral. Lineage: Eukaryota; Viridiplantae; Streptophyta; Magnoliopsida; Poales; Poaceae.